GUAAAUGAACCAUCAGAUGUAGCAACUGGUAGCACCUCUCUUUCUUGUUCCUGACAAUCAGCCCCACCUCAGCAAGUCAGUAAAGUUAGUCCAAAUUUUUACAGUUCCAUUUCAUUCUUCCAUUCAGACUUCAAGUCUCCUUUUCAGUGUUUUUUUUUUUUUUUUUUGGAUUGAUGAACAUUGUUGUUGGACAAUACAAGACCUCCUGCUCAGCCAUUUCCACAAGAUUUCUGUGAUCUCCAGCAGCAUUGUCUCUUGAUGCCUGCCUCUCCUGGAGUGACUGUAGUCGGACAACUAUAUUCCACUACAUACAGAUUGGCCAAAGGUUUGCAGAACACGUUUCCACGGAACAAGGAAAUGUACACCCCAUGAACAAGCAGAGAACAUUCAGUGUGGUGGCCAGAGAGAUCCUGACUCAGUUUCAGGUGUGGCAGAAGGCCUGCUAUAGCAGGAACAUUGAGUGGGGCCCGAUUACAGCGAAGGUUCGGUCCUCUUCAUUUGUUCCGUCUGAUGAGAU
Cyprinus carpio (common carp) is the source of this 517-nucleotide long non-coding RNA. The record is from Ensembl. Lineage: Eukaryota; Metazoa; Chordata; Actinopteri; Cypriniformes; Cyprinidae.